Molecule: ribosomal RNA, 603 nt
Filed under: Cylindrospermopsis raciborskii LEGE 99048
Lineage: Bacteria; Bacillati; Cyanobacteriota; Cyanophyceae; Nostocales; Aphanizomenonaceae
Description: bacterial SSU rRNA
Rfam family: Bacterial small subunit ribosomal RNA
Source: RNAcentral
AACGCGUGAGAAUCUGGCUCCAGGUCGGGGAUAACAGUUGGAAACGACUGCUAAUACCGGAUGUGCCGAGAGGUGAAAGAUUUAUUGCCUGGAGAUGAGCUCGCGUCUGAUUAGCUAGUUGGUGGUGUAAGGGACCACCAAGGCGUCGAUCAGUAGCUGGUCUGAGAGGAUGAUCAGCCACACUGGGACUGAGACACGGCCCAGACUCCUACGGGAGGCAGCAGUGGGGAAUUUUCCGCAAUGGGCGAAAGCCUGACGGAGCAAUACCGCGUGAGGGAGGAAGGCUCUUGGGUCGUAAACCUCUUUUCUCAAGGAAGAAGAAAGUGACGGUACUUGAGGAAUAAGCAUCGGCUAACUCCGUGCCAGCAGCCGCGGUAAUACGGAGGAUGCAAGCGUUAUCCGGAAUGAUUGGGCGUAAAGGGUCUGCAGGUGGAACUGAAAGUCUGCUGUUAAAGAGUUUGGCUUAACCAAAUAAAAGCGGUGGAAACUACAGAACUAGAGUGCGGUAGGGGCAAAAGGAAUUCCUGGUGUAGCGGUGAAAUGCGUAGAUAUCAGGAAGAACACCGGUGGCGAAAGCGUUUGCUAGACCGUACUGACACUGAG